Molecule: ribosomal RNA, 253 nt
Filed under: uncultured bacterium
Lineage: Bacteria
Also listed under: 1 other name
Description: partial 16S ribosomal RNA
Rfam family: Bacterial small subunit ribosomal RNA
Source: RNAcentral
GACGAACCGUACGAACGUUAUUCGGAAUUACUGGGCUUAAAGGGUGCGUAGGCGGCGCGGAAAGUAGGGUGUGAAAUCCCUCGGCUCAACCGAGGAACUGCGCUCUAAACUACCGUGCUCGAGGGAGAUAGAGGUGAGCGGAACUGAGGGUGGAGCGGUGAAAUGCGUUGAUAUCCUCAGGAACACCGGUGGCGAAAGCGGCUCACUGGAUCUCUUCUGACGCUGAGGCACGAAAGCUAGGGUAGCGAACGGG